This 28-nucleotide non-coding RNA is filed under the name Rattus norvegicus (Norway rat). Lineage: Eukaryota; Metazoa; Chordata; Mammalia; Rodentia; Muridae. The record is from RNAcentral.
UGGCAAGACUUUGUAUAAGGAAAGCAUA